This 601-nucleotide ribosomal RNA is filed under the name uncultured bacterium. Its description in RNAcentral is "bacterial SSU rRNA". It matches the Rfam family "Bacterial small subunit ribosomal RNA", at positions 338 to 949 of the family's 1533-position model. The record is from RNAcentral.
CCUACGGGAGGCAGCAGUUGGGAAUUUUGCACAAUGGACGAAAGUCUGAUGCAGCAACGCCGCGUGCGGGAUGAAGAUUUUCGGAUUGUAAACCGCUUUUAUUUGGGAGUAACUGUUUGAACGUACCAAAUGAAUAAGCACCGGCUAACUCCGUGCCAGCAGCCGCGGUAAUACGGAGGGUGCAAACGUUGUCCGGAAUUACUGGGCGUAAAGCGCAUGUAGGUGGUCUAAUAAGUGAACGAUUAAAUACCGACGCUUAACGUCGGAAAGGUUAUUCAUACUGUUAGACUCGAGGAAGACAGGGGCAGAUGGAACUUUAAGUGUAGGAGUGAUAUCCGUAGAUAUUUAAAGGAACACCAAUGGCGAAGGCAGUCUGCUGGGUCUUUUCUGACACUGAGAUGCGAAAGUGUGGGGAGCAAACGGGAUUAGAUACCCCGGUAGUCCACACUGUAAACGAUGCUCACUAGGUCUUGGAGGGUAUCGACCCCCUUUUGGACCGAAGCUAACGCGUUAAGUGAGCCGCCUGGGGAGUACGAACGCAAGUUUAAAACUCAAAGGAAUUGACGGCUGAGACCGNGCGAAGCGACGACGAGGGAGUUAG